UCCGUAGGUGGAUAAUUAAGUCAGAGGUGAAAUCCUGCAGCUCAACUGUAGAAUUGCCUUUGAUACUGGUUAUCUUGAGUCAUUAUGAAGUGGUUAGAAUGUGUAGUGUAGCGGUGAAAUGCAUAGAUAUUACACAGAAUACCGAUUGCGAAGGCAGAUCACUAAUAAUGUACUGACACUGAGGGACGAAAGCGUGGGAAGCGAACAGGAUUAGAUACCCUGGUAGUCC
This 229-nucleotide ribosomal RNA is filed under the name uncultured bacterium. RNAcentral describes it as "partial 16S ribosomal RNA". It matches the Rfam family "Bacterial small subunit ribosomal RNA", at positions 568 to 796 of the family's 1533-position model. The record is from RNAcentral.